RNAcentral lists this unclassified non-coding RNA (213 nucleotides) under Hevea brasiliensis (rubber tree). Lineage: Eukaryota; Viridiplantae; Streptophyta; Magnoliopsida; Malpighiales; Euphorbiaceae. The record is from RNAcentral.
GGAUUAGGUUGUUGCCUUGUCUCCGCGGCGGUAUAUUGAUUUGUUCUUUAAUCAAAAAAUGGGUUGGAGGGGAGAUAAUUCUAGUCCUAAUGAGGUGUGCUUCUUGGGUUUUGUUUUUGGUUUUUCUAGAUAUUCUUUUCUGGCUUUCUUAUGGAUUAAUGUGACUCUGACUAGCUUGGACGAUGAUGAAUGUGUUUCAUACUGUAAAUUUAC